Molecule: long non-coding RNA, 1471 nt
Filed under: Phoenix dactylifera (date palm)
Lineage: Eukaryota; Viridiplantae; Streptophyta; Magnoliopsida; Arecales; Arecaceae
Description: long non-coding RNA (PDAC_LNC007587)
Source: RNAcentral
UUUGACAAAAUGAACACUCAUUAAAGUGGUCUGGUCAUGGUCCAAAAUAAAUAUGUUACUUUGGCGAAGCUUCUCACAUUAUAGCAUUUACUAAUUCGAACGUAACUAUGAGCUUAAUAUAGAAAGCUAUCUCAAUUAUUGAUUAUGUUCUAAAUACAUAUUAAUCUAAACUGUGACACCCAAAAUACAUAUUUUGGGUCGACAAUAAGACCUUCGUGGCAAGGAACGAUAUGUCAAGAAAAAAAGAUGCCUCUUCACCUAAAUUUUGAAUAUGUUAUGGAAGACCAGGGAGAGUGGGAUGCCAUCAAAUUGUGCUGGAGAUGUUUAACUCGACCAUCUGUCACAUAGAAAGCCACAUAUUUGACACAGAAAGGCGCAUAUAUCUACAAGAACAAUUAACAAUUUAACCACCGUUAUAGUCGCUGACCUUCAUAACUAAUGCUAGCUACAGCCUACAGGAAUUGCAUUUACGUGUAUAGACAUUUAAAAGUAUCAAAGCUUUACGCGUGGAGGUUGUUUGGUUGUCUGUCGUAAUAUUAUUACUCUCUCGAGAAGGACAUAUUAUCAUGGGUCCAGUGAGACCAUUCCACAUACAUUUAGUAAUAUCAAUUCUUUUGCACCUAGACCCUUAAAAAAAGAAAAGAAAACAUAUUCUACUAGGUGCGGUGCAAAAUGCCGACACCUUACAUUUUGAUCCUUGGCUUCUCCGCUGGAGGUUAUUAUCAGCUGGAAAUAAACAAAAUUAUCUCCUUAAUUUUUAUUUCUAAAAUAUCGUUAGACAUAUAUUCGUGAAAUAUCUUAUUUUAAUAAUAGGUUCGUCCCGAACAAUCUAGAGAGCAGGGCAGGGCGCGUUACCGGAUGGACGUGUAAACCUCAUCCAAAGACCCGCUUCACGGCGCCGCCAGCCGAUCAAAGCUACGUAGCUUCACGUACCGGAUUGACUGAGCUACAACUGUACCAUAAAUAAAUAAAUAAAAAAACAAAUCGAAUUUUGUGGUACCACUUCUGGUCAACACUUCCAGAAGUUCCUUCCUUCGAAUUCCAUUGUUUUUCAUAUCAGACCACACCGAAAAGAGGCCAAUAAUAAUAUAGACGUGCAAGCCAACAACGGGAGUAUCAAGAAAAGACAGAUAUCUCACAUCCUGGUCCCGGAAAUGCCUCAUGUCCCUCCGAACCUUUCUUUCUUAUUUCGAAAAUGCAUAGGUAAACUCAAAAAUUUCACUCAUCGAUCCCUUUGAAUUGUGCCCCACGUGACCGGUGGAAGACGUUCGCGUGACCAUCUCAAGUCAUUUUUCUCGAGUUGCCUUUACUUUUCCUGGUUCCACGAUGGGCCCACACCUGGACCCAUUUUCCAUCAUCACGUCACCAACAUGUCCUCAUUACCGCUGUUGAUCAGACGGUCCGCCUACGACCUAGCGCAUCAACCUACAAUUGGUCACCUGAAAACGCGGAUCAAAAAUAAGACCGGCGG